UAAACUAUAAGUAUUUUAAAUAUAAAGACCCGAAAUAAUAAGGUCAAAAAAGUUAUAAAGUUUAGUCGUUAAAAUUAAAUAUGUUGCAUAAUACAAUUUUAAUAACUUUUUAGAGGAGAUAUUCCAACAGUUUUUAUGAUAGCUGGAUUAAAGGGAAAAGUAUUAAGUACUUAUAACAAUUAUAAAGUGAUAAGAUUUUAUAAUUUAAAUAAGUUGUUUUUAAAUUGACUAGGGUUAGUCCCCUAAAAGUUAUUAAUUUCUACCAUAAUUUGAAUGUAUCUUUUUAUAUUUACCGUUUAAACUAAAACCAAUUAAGGCCUUGAGUUUAUAAUGUUUAAAUUAGUAUUUUCAUAUAAAUUUUGUUAAGGAACUCGGCAAAUAUUAUAUUCGACUGUUUAACAAAAACAUAGUCCAUUGUUUAUUCAUAGUGGGUGUAUACUGCCCGGUGAGUUUAUUAAACGGCCGCAGUACCUUGACUGUGCGAAGGUAGCAUAAUAAUUUGGCCUUUAAAUGGGGUCUAGAAUGAAAGGAUUCACGAAUAUUAGCUGUCUCAACCUUAAUUAAAGAAAACUUAUUUAAAAGGUGCAAAUACCUUUAUAUUAAUAUAAUAGACGAGAAGACCCUUAGAAUUUAAUUUAAUAUAAACAUAUGUUUAGUUUGAUUUUGUUGGGGCAACAAAGCAGCAAAUAUUUAAUCUGCUUUUUAAAUAUUAAGAUAUGCCGACUAUUAGUAUGAAUAUAUAAAUUACCUUAGGGAUAACAGCAUAAUUUAAUAAAGAUUGUGACCUCGAUGUUGGAUUAGGGCCAUAAUAAUUUAACCAAUUAUUGUGCUAGUUCUGUUCGAACUUUAUUACCUACAUGAUCUGAGUUCA
Molecule: ribosomal RNA, 871 nt
Filed under: Chondrina kobeltoides
Lineage: Eukaryota; Metazoa; Mollusca; Gastropoda; Stylommatophora; Chondrinidae
Description: partial large subunit ribosomal RNA
Rfam family: Archaeal large subunit ribosomal RNA (bases 347-596)
Source: RNAcentral